Molecule: long non-coding RNA, 512 nt
Filed under: Sorghum bicolor (sorghum)
Lineage: Eukaryota; Viridiplantae; Streptophyta; Magnoliopsida; Poales; Poaceae
Description: long non-coding RNA (SBIC_LNC008013)
Source: RNAcentral
ACCCAUAGAGGCCCAUGUAGAGCAAACCCAUUGUAAUUUCUGUACAGCCCAUAAUAAAAGAAAAAAGAUCCAUUAACAGCAUCAACCCAUAAUAAAAAGGCCAAACCCGGCAAUCCAUGGCAUAAAUAGGACACAGAAUUGUGAGAGAUGCAAAGGAGAAGAAAACAGAUCUGAUGUGCAUGGGGAAAGCCUAUGCUCUCCUCACGCAGAGCAGAGGAAAGUGGAAGAUAUCAGAUUGCAAAAGAACAUGAAAUUUUCAAGAAGAAGCACUACAAGGCUGAACUAUACCUCAUCACCAAAGGUUAGUAUCUCAAUCUUUUCAAUCUACUUUCUCAAAUAGCAACAAAAAAUAACAGCAAUUUAGAACAAAGAAUAGGAGAAUUUAGAUCCAAGGAAAAGACAAUUAGGAUGAAAAAGAUGUCCUGCUACUUGUACUUAAUCAAAUAGCAGGGCGUGGCCUGGUUGCUCACUGUGGAGUAAUAGAUCCAGCACUUGGAGGUUCUCAUGUGGAA